RNAcentral lists this ribosomal RNA (253 nucleotides) under uncultured bacterium. Its description in RNAcentral is "partial 16S ribosomal RNA". It matches the Rfam family "Bacterial small subunit ribosomal RNA", at positions 524 to 776 of the family's 1533-position model. The record is from RNAcentral.
UACGGAGGGAGCUAGCGUUGUUCGGAAUUACUGGGCGUAAAGCGCGCGUAGGCGGCUUUGUAAGUUAGAGGUGAAAGCCCGGGGCUCAACCCCGGAAUUGCCUUUAAGACUGCAUCGCUUGAAUCCGGGAGAAGUGAGUGGAAUUCCGAGUGUAGAGGUGAAAUUCGUAGAUAUUCGGAAGAACACCAGUGGCGAAGGCGGCUCACUGGACCGGCAUUGACGCUGAGGUGCGAAAGCGUGGGGAGCAAACAGG